CAUAAUGGUAAAAAAGUUCAACUCAUUUCCAGAUAGACAGAUGAUGCCAGCUGUGCAAAGAGUGAAUGAGAGUCUGAUAAAACUGCUGAAGAUGAAGGCAGAAUCAGGAGAACCUGUGGAACUCAAGGAAUUGAGUGGCGCUUACUGCAUGGAUGUGAUCGCUGGGGCAGAUUUGCAUACUGUUGACGUCCCU
This is a long non-coding RNA of Pomacea canaliculata, 193 nucleotides long. RefSeq lists it as uncharacterized. Lineage: Eukaryota; Metazoa; Mollusca; Gastropoda; Architaenioglossa; Ampullariidae. The record is from RefSeq and is a predicted model, not a curated record. The transcript is spliced from 3 exons.